This 273-nucleotide long non-coding RNA is filed under the name Marmota monax (woodchuck). The record is from RNAcentral. Lineage: Eukaryota; Metazoa; Chordata; Mammalia; Rodentia; Sciuridae.
UUCACCCUAGAGGAGUGGACUUUACUGGACACAACUCAGAGAAACCUAUACAAAGAUGUGAUGCUGGAGAACUUUGAGAACCUGACCUCAGUAGCUUCAGAAUUGGAACUCCAACCUAGCACCAAAGGGUCAGAGCUUCAGAAUGACUGUAUGACACAAACUUCCAUUGGGAUACAAACGGCAAGCCUCAGUGAUGGAGGGACACUGUGUGACUAUAAGCCAUGUGGAGAAGUACCCAUUGAACAGUCAUGCCUUAUGACAGAUGUGAGAAUG